GAACGGACUUCAGGCUGAAGGACAAAUAUGUUUGAGUGAUUCAAUUGAAUGGGAAAGUGUGUCCAAACUUUUGACUGGCAGUGUAUGAGGCACACACACA
Molecule: long non-coding RNA, 100 nt
Organism: Thalassophryne amazonica
Lineage: Eukaryota; Metazoa; Chordata; Actinopteri; Batrachoidiformes; Batrachoididae
Exons: 3
Source: RefSeq, a predicted model, not a curated record